Molecule: ribosomal RNA, 260 nt
Filed under: uncultured archaeon
Lineage: Archaea
Description: partial 16S ribosomal RNA
Rfam family: Archaeal small subunit ribosomal RNA
Source: RNAcentral
CAGCCCUAAACGAUGCGCGUUAGGUGUAUCGGUGACCACGAGUCACCGAGGUGCCGAAGGGAAACCGUGAAACGUGCCGCCUGGGAAGUACGGUCGCAAGGCUGAAACUUAAAGGAAUUGGCGGGGGAGCACCACAACGGGUGGAGCUUGCGGUUUAAUUGGAUUCAACGCUGGAAAUCUUACCGGGACCGACAGCAACAUGAAGGCCAGGCUGAAGACUUUGCCGGAUUAGCUGAGAGGAGGUGCAUGGCGUAGUCGUG